UACGGCGGGAGCUAGCGUUGUUCGGAAUUACUGGGCGUAAAGCGCACGUAGGCGGCUUUGUAAGUUAGAGGUGAAAGCCCGGGGCUCAACCCCGGAAUUGCCUUUAAGACUGCAUCGCUUGAAUCCGGGAGAGGUGAGUGGAAUUCCGAGUGUAGAGGUGAAAUUCGUAGAUAUUCGGAAGAACACCAGUGGCGAAGGCGGCUCACUGGACCGGUAUUGACGCUGAGGUGCGAAAGCGUGGGGAGCAAACAGG
RNAcentral lists this ribosomal RNA (253 nucleotides) under uncultured bacterium. RNAcentral describes it as "partial 16S ribosomal RNA". It matches the Rfam family "Bacterial small subunit ribosomal RNA", at positions 524 to 776 of the family's 1533-position model. The record is from RNAcentral.